Long non-coding RNA from Oreochromis aureus, 2330 nucleotides. The record is from Ensembl. NCBI's taxonomy places the organism in Eukaryota, Metazoa, Chordata, Actinopteri, Cichliformes, Cichlidae.
GUAAGACUGCUGUCUCAGUUUGGUUGAAGAAGGAUGGAUGUUCUUUUUUUUUCAUAUCUACACGUUUGUAAAAACUAAGGGAAUUCAUAUGACCUACCAACAUUAAAAAUAACCACAGCGUGAAUGAGGAGGAGACAGGAAGUAAAGAAGAUAGACAUGUGUCUUUGACAAGUACAACAGAGUUGGCAAGUUGCAGUUGUGACAAGAUGAGAAGGAAAACCAGAACAAAAGGCGAUGAUUGAACACAAAUUAUUCAACAUUUCUCUGUUUUUGUUGCUUCUUUAUUCAGGAGCACUUAGUGGAGAUCUUUCGCUCACCUUCAUUGUCAGAGAUGGAGAUAAAGUCACUUUGCCUUGUCAAAAUCGGAUCAACAAUCAUCACAACUGUCACACUACCACCUGGCUCUUCACUGAUUCAAGAAGCACAGCAGCAGUAGAGCUGGUUAAUCAUGGACAGAUCAAAGAAACAGCCAAAUCAGACAGACUGAGUGUUACAGCAGAAUGCUCACUGGUUAUAAAGAAGGUCACAGCUGAGGAUGUUGGUCGUUACACCUGCAGACAGUUUAGAGGCAAUCCAGGGACACAGCAAGGUCCAGAUGCUGUGGUUCAUCUGUCUGUUGUCGUCAUGACUGAAAAGAAGAACGCUGAUAAAGUAACUUUAAGCUGCUCUGUGUCGACAUUUGAUCGGUGUAGACACAAAGUGAAGUGGAUUCAUAACAGAAGAGCUCUGGAUAGAGAUUACUCAAAUUUAAAAACAUCACAGUCUUCCUGCUCUGCAACUGUGACUUUCUUGAAUCUUACAUAUGGUCACAUAUCAAGUUCUGACUUUAAGUGUAGCUUAAAAAGAACAGAAAAUAACAAAGAGCAGCUUUUUACCUUCAGCCAUCAUUCAUCAGGUGAAGAAACAAAUACAGCAACAACAGUCAAAUUAGACACAAUGACUACAAUAAAAGAGCUGGAAAUCAUGGAUGGUUCAACAAACUUACCAGAAAUAAAUGCAGCAGCAACAAUUAAAUUGGAAAUGAUGACUGAAUCUGGCAUUAAAGGAGGUCUGACAACAAAACAGCUGGAAAUCAUGAAUAGUUUGAGAAAAUUACCAGACUGGUCCUGGUACAGGCUCGCCAUUGUGGCCCUGGGUUUAGUAGCACUUAUAGCAGCUGUUGUUGUCGUCAGCAUCUGGAUAAGAGCUGGGAAAAAAGCACAGAUGGAUGAAAACAUGGCUGAUGUCCAAGAUGUUGUUCUCUACGCCUCCCUCAGCUACACUGAGACCACCUACAGCUGUCCAGGUCUUCAGGUUCCCCAUAAAGACGACGAAGAAGGUGAAGCUGUGACCUACAUUAUAUGUCCAGUCUCUUCUCCUGGACCCGCUCCCAUCAACCUCUAUGCUAGCAUCAACAAACCAAAAAACUAAAACACAGAAAAAACACACAGAAUCUCUUUUUAUUUGAUAACUUCUUUCUUUCUUUCCAUUCUUGUGUAAUGAAAGAGGGUUUCUGUUUGGCUAAAGUUCCCAGGAUUUAACUACAGUGAUAAUGUAAUCUGUAUUUUAAUUAUUAAUUUCUAACACAGAAUGUUGCACUAUAUUUUUUCAUAGAUUGUUUAUUGCUUUAUGUGUUUGUAUAUCUGCAGAUUAGGCCUGACGAUUUUAUGAUAUUAAAAAGUGUUUUUACAUUAUGUAAAAUCCCAAGCAGCUAAUAAAGGCUCCAGCACAUGAGUUUUAUUGUCACAGUACUGGGUCUCUGACCCUGUGUUUUUGUUGGUUUUAGUUAUGUUCUUUGUUUAUUGUAUUUCAUGGGUUUUGGUUCUCUUCAUUGUUUCCUGUAUGUGUUAUAUUCUUAGAUCCUUGGAUUUAGGUUUCCUGUUAGUUUGCCUUCCCUGUGUCCCAUGUCUAGUUACCUUUGUCUCCAUCUUCCUUCUGCCUCCCCAGUGAGUCGUGUCUUUUGUCACUCCUGUCUCUCUGCUCCAUGUUCAGUUUGUUCAGUGUCAAGUCAGCGUCUUUGUGUUAUAUUUCCUGUUACUUUGACGUUCCCUUGUCUCAUGUCAGUGUUUGUGGUUUUGCUUUCCCUUGGUCUUUUCAUGUUUGAUUCCUCCCAGCUGUGCCUUGCUCCUGUGUCUCAUUCCCUCGUUAUCCCUCAGUUUAUUUAACCCCUGUGUUUUCCUUGCUCUGUGUUGUGUUGUACGGUGUGUGUUUACCUGUGUGCACCUCUCUGUGUGCUUAGUUUAUUUUUCCAGUGUAGUUUUGUAUUGUUUCUCCCAGCCAGCAAAUAAAGCUGUGUUUUUUUUAGUUUGCUCUUUGCCUCUGUGAGUCUGCAUUUGGGUCUUCUCCUACCA